Molecule: microRNA precursor, 146 nt
Filed under: Gossypium arboreum
Lineage: Eukaryota; Viridiplantae; Streptophyta; Magnoliopsida; Malvales; Malvaceae
Description: MIR7502 microRNA precursor family
Rfam family: MIR7502 microRNA precursor family
Source: Rfam by way of RNAcentral
CAUUAGAAGUUAUAUUUCCAUUUCUACUGUUAAAAAUUGGCAUGACUAACAUAAUAACCAAACAGCAAUACAUAGCGUGGCACACGUAUUUCAUGCUAAGUACAGAGACCGAUUUUUAAUAAUAGAAAUAGAUAGAAUUUUUAACA